This 861-nucleotide ribosomal RNA is filed under the name uncultured bacterium. RNAcentral's name for it is "bacterial SSU rRNA". It matches the Rfam family "Bacterial small subunit ribosomal RNA", at positions 61 to 953 of the family's 1533-position model. The record is from RNAcentral.
GUCGACGAUGAAUCUUCUAGCUUGCUAGAAGUGGAUUAGUGGCGCACGGGUGAGUAAUGCAUAGGUUAUGUGCCCUUUAGUCUGGGAUAGCCACUGGAAACGGUGAUUAAUACUGGAUACUCCCUACGGGGGAAAGUUUUUCGCUAAAGGAUCAGCCUAUGUCCUAUCAGCUUGUUGGUGAGGUAAUGGCUCACCAAGGCUAUGACGGGUAUCCGGCCUGAGAGGGUGAUCGGACACACUGGAACUGAGACACGGUCCAGACUCCUACGGGAGGCAGCAGUAGGGAAUAUUGCUCAAUGGGGGAAACCCUGAAGCAGCAACGCCGCGUGGAGGAUGAAGGUUUUAGGAUUGUAAACUCCUUUUGUUAGAGAAGAUUAUGACGGUAUCUAACGAAUAAGCACCGGCUAACUCCGUGCCAGCAGCCGCGGUAAUACGGAGGGUGCAAGCGUUACUCGGAAUCACUGGGCGUAAAGAGUGCGUAGGCGGGGUAAUAAGUCAGAUGUGAAAUCCUGUAGCUUAACUACAGAACUGCAUUUGAAACUGUUACUCUGGAGUGUGGGAGAGGUAGGUGGAAUUCUUGGUGUAGGGGUAAAAUCCGUAGAGAUCAAGAGGAAUACUCAUUGCGAAGGCGACCUGCUGGAACAUUACUGACGCUGAUGCACGAAAGCGUGGGGAGCAAACAGGAUUAGAUACCCUGGUAGUCCACGCCCUAAACGAUGGAUGCUAGUUGUUGCCUUGCUUGUCAGGGCAGUAAUGCAGCUAACGCAUUAAGCAUCCCGCCUGGGGAGUACGGUCGCAAGAUUAAAACUCAAAGGAAUAGACGGGGACCCGCACAAGCGGUGGAGCAUGUGGUUUAAUUCG